AAGACUAUAGACCUGCGGAGUACCUGCGGAAGGAUCAUUACUGUGAUUUACUACUACACUGCGUGAGCGGAACGAAAACAACAACACCUAAAAUGUGGAAUAUAGCAUAUAGUCGACAAGAGAAAUCUACGAAAAAACAAACAAAACUUUCAACAACGGAUCUCU
This 165-nucleotide unclassified non-coding RNA is filed under the name soil metagenome. RNAcentral's name for it is "partial contains 5.8S ribosomal RNA, internal transcribed spacer 2, and large subunit ribosomal RNA". The record is from RNAcentral.